UUCUAUUCUUUCAUUUUUGUUGAUUGCAAAAGCUAAAAAGAUAUUCUUCAAGUAUCUGUUAUCUGGAUUCGAAAAUGUUCUCACCAAAGCUGUGGAGUCGAUACCGAUAGUAGAUACUAAGUAUCUUUAUUUUGUUCUUUUUCGUUUUUAAUUGUCAACUUGAUUUUUGUUCCGUUUUUUUUUAAUUGUGACUCUUAAUUGUUGUUCUUUUGUUUUUCCUUUGGUGUUGAUUAAACUCGAUUCAAGUGGACAUGAUGCUUAGUCGAUUUUCUAUCAUUUUUGAUUGCUCCAAAUGGAGAGAGACUGAACAAUGUCUCAAGGAAAAGCUAAUGUUCCUUGGUUUAUUAAAUACGCUUCUUCAAGUUAUCAGUUUUCUUGUUUUACUCACUGCUUUUGGUGCUUUUCGUUACCUUUGGUAUUCUUGUGGACACCUUGUGAUUUUACCUCUUUUUCUGGUUUCACUUUACCGGGAAUGGGCUGAGGUUCUACGGUACAUCAGAGUUUUAUUAAUAAUUGGACAGAUAAUCAUUGGUUUAAAUAUAAUCUAUUUCAUCUUUGUAAUUGGAUCUGAUCCGGAUGGUAAAGAGCCGCUUAGAGGUGCUAAUAUUUACUCCUUUUUCGCCAACGUUAUCAACCUUCCCUGCAAGUUUGUUCUCUCUUCUUUUUGGAACUUCUUUUGGAACAAAUGCCGAUCGACGAAGAAGAAGCUUAAAUUAUCAAAAAGAAACCCAAAAAUCGAAUCAAUUUAAUGUGUAAAUACAAACAACUCUAAUGACAGACGAAGACGAUACUUAUAAUGAACGAGCUUUAUCCCGACAAUGAUUACCAUUCAAUCAACAUUAAUCAAUCUCAUCACAAAGGUCAUAAUCAGUGUCCAUCCUCAUCUAAAUCUAUUUGUAAACCCAAAUGUUGCCUUAGGUGAAAAUCCUCCAAACUUCAAGAUUAUCAAUUUAUAACAAUUAACUAACCACAAAAAAAAGUUACUCUAAAUAUCAACAGAUGCCAGUAGAGGUCAAGGUUUAAACGUAACAAAAAGUGAAUUAAUCUUUUCCUCCUCUAGAUGUCACUACUUAUCCAAACAAUUAAAUUUAAUUGUCAAUCAAUUUGAUCAACAAUCAAUUGGAAAAUCAUGACCAUCCACUAAAAAGCCACCAAAUCAACAAUUCAAUCCUUUGAACAAGAAUGAAAAUACUUUUCAAUUUGGUAAAACAAUCAACUCAACAAGUGGAUCCAUCAUCAAUUAACAGCAACUCCAACGACAAUUAGUUAACCAAUUACAUACUAAUAAUGUUUUAUUACUAAAUUAUCGUGAUAAUGAUUUAACUUUUGUUUUUGGAAAAGACAAAACUUGAAAGUCUGAUAAUUAAAGGGGAGAAAAUUAAAUUCUGUUAGAAAACUGUUAGGUCAUUGCUACCUCAGUUUUAAGAUUUUAAUUUAAAUUGUUUGUGUGAGAAGAAGACAUUUUAUUGUCUAAUUAACAAUUAAGAGAAAGAUAUUUAAAGAUUUAAGAUAAUCUUCAUUUUUCAUCUUCAUCUCUCUUUUCUUGUUCAUGUAACUGACACAUUUUCCUCUCUCAUCUUCCCAUCUUCAUCUUCAUCUUCAUCAUCAACAUAAUCAAGUGACCGGUUAGCCGCAGGUCAGUUAAUUGUUGACCUUUUUUCACCAACAAUCAUAAUCAUAAUGAUGACAAUUUAAUUUGGAAACAAAGUAAAUGAUGGUGAUAAUAACCAUCAUAUCUAGUGUCUUAUAUAUGGAAAGGAUAAUUAAAUUAAAAGACAAAAAAGUCAAAAUAAUCAUAAUCAAAUUAAAGGAUGAAUUCAGGUUAACUUUUCAAUCUUAAUUGUUGUAAUCAUCUCCUUAAUCAUUAUCCCUUAUAAUUAACAUUGACUAAUUAACUUUACUAAAAACAAACACAAACUAAUCCUAUCCAAAGUUUCAACAAUUAACCAAAUGUUCAAGUUAAUAAUCAAUUUGAUUGUUACAAGGGCAGGGCCAGUAAAUUGUUGAUUCUAAUCAACUCAAUUGAUUAACAGUUAAUCAUGAAUUAUGAAUAUUAUUUUGAUUAAGAUGAUUAAACUUUUGUUCACAAGGCGUUUUCCCAAUCAUACUAAUCAUCAUCAACUUUCAUGUUAAUCAACAAUUUUAAAUUGUCUUAAAUUACUCACAAUUAGAGCCCUAAAAAUAGGGACAAUUCACCUUGACCACACCUUUGACCCCUGACCUCUCCCCUUGAUAACAGUUAUCAUUAUAAUGUCAUAUUAACUUAAUGUUGAUCAUCAGAAUUGAUUGUGAUUAAAAUUUUCCCUUAAAUAAUUAACCCUGUAAACUUAAUCCAUUUGCAAUAUGUUUUCAUUGUAAUAAUCGGUUUAAUUAUCUUGAUUAAACUUUCCAAAGGUUAACAAUUA
Molecule: long non-coding RNA, 2405 nt
Organism: Panonychus citri (citrus red mite)
Lineage: Eukaryota; Metazoa; Arthropoda; Arachnida; Trombidiformes; Tetranychidae
Exons: 2
Source: RefSeq, a predicted model, not a curated record